AUUGAACGCUGGCGGCACGCCUAACACAUGCAAGUCGAGCGGAGCGGCGGACGGGUGAGUAAGGCCUAGGAAUCAGCCUGGUAGUGGGGGAUAACGUCCGGAAACGGGCGCUACUACCGCCUACUAUCCGCUGAGUCUAGGUCGGAUUAGCUAGCUGGUAGGGUAAAGGCCUACCAAGGUGACGAUCCGUAAAUGGUCUGAGAGGAUUAUCAUUCACACUGGAACUGAGACACGGUCCAGACUCCUACGGGAGGCAGCAGGGGGGAAUAUUGGACAAUGGGCGAAAGGCUGAUGCAGCCAUGCCGCGUGUGUGAAGAAGGUCUUCGGAUUGUAAAGCACUUUAAGUUGGGAGGCGUUACCAACAGAAUAAGCACCGGCUAACUUCGUGCGAGCAGCCGCGGUAAUUC
This 407-nucleotide ribosomal RNA is filed under the name uncultured bacterium. Its description in RNAcentral is "partial 16S ribosomal RNA". It matches the Rfam family "Bacterial small subunit ribosomal RNA", at positions 30 to 526 of the family's 1533-position model. The record is from RNAcentral.